UGAACGCUAGCUACAGGCUUACACAUGCAAGUCGAGGGAAACGAUAGAGAAAGCUUGCUUUUUCUAGGCGUCGACCGGCGCACGGGUGAGUAACGCGUAUCCAACCUGCCCAUCACUUGGGGAUAACCUUGCGAAAGUAAGACUAAUACCCAAUGACGUCUCUAGAAGACAUCUGAAAGAGAUUAAAGAAUUUCGGUUGUCGAUGGGGAUGCGUUCCAUUAGGCAGUUGGCGGGGUAACGGCCCACCAAACCUUCGAUGGAUAGGGGUUCUGAGAGGAAGGUCCCCCACAUUGGAACUGAGACACGGUCCAAACUCCUACGGGAGGCAGCAGUGAGGAAUAUUGGUCAAUGGACGAGAGUCUGAACCAGCCAAGUAGCGUGAAGGAUGACUGCCCUAUGGGUUGUAAACUUCUUUUAUACGGGAAUAAAGUGGGCUAUGUAUAGCUUUUUGUAUGUACCGUAUGAAUAAGGAUCGGCUAACUCCGUG
This 487-nucleotide ribosomal RNA is filed under the name uncultured bacterium. RNAcentral describes it as "bacterial SSU rRNA". It matches the Rfam family "Bacterial small subunit ribosomal RNA", at positions 30 to 507 of the family's 1533-position model. The record is from RNAcentral.